UACGUAGGGGGCAAGCGUUAUCCGGAUUUACUGGGUGUAAAGGGUGCGUAGGUGGCAAGGCAAGUCAGAUGUGAAAGCCCGGGGCUCAACCCCGGUACUGCAUUUGAAACUGUCUAGCUAGAGUGCAGGAGAGGUAAGCGGAAUUCCUAGUGUAGCGGUGAAAUGCGUAGAUAUUAGGAGGAACACCAGUGGCGAAGGCGGCUUACUGGACUGUAACUGACACUGAGGCACGAAAGCGUGGGGAGCAAACAGG
RNAcentral lists this ribosomal RNA (253 nucleotides) under uncultured bacterium. RNAcentral describes it as "partial 16S ribosomal RNA". It matches the Rfam family "Bacterial small subunit ribosomal RNA", at positions 524 to 776 of the family's 1533-position model. The record is from RNAcentral. RNAcentral also lists the same sequence under 2 other names.